AAAUUGAAGAGUUUGAUCAUGGCUCAGAUUGAACGCUGGCGGCAGGCCUAACACAUGCAAGUCGAACGGUAACAGGAAGCAGCUUGCUGCUUCGCUGACGAGUGGCGGACGGGUGAGUAAUGUCUGGGAAACUGCCUGAUGGAGGGGGAUAACUACUGGAAACGGUGGCUAAUACCGCAUAACGUCGCAAGACCAAAGAGGGGGACCUUCGGGCCUCUUGCCAUCAGAUGUGCCCAGAUGGGAUUAGCUUGUUGGUGAGGUAACGGCUCACCAAGGCGACGAUCCCUAGCUGGUCUGAGAGGAUGACCAGCCACACUGGAACUGAGACACGGUCCAGACUCCUACGGGAGGCAGCAGUGGGGAAUAUUGCACAAUGGGCGCAAGCCUGAUGCAGCCAUGCCGCGUGUAUGAAGAAGGCCUUCGGGUUGUAAAGUACUUUCAGCGGGGAGGAAGGUGUUGCGGUUAAUAACCGCAGCAAUUGACGUUACCCGCAGAAGAAGCACCGGCUAACUCCGUGCCAGCAGCCGCGGUAAUACGGA
Molecule: ribosomal RNA, 539 nt
Filed under: Salmonella enterica subsp. enterica serovar Infantis
Lineage: Bacteria; Pseudomonadati; Pseudomonadota; Gammaproteobacteria; Enterobacterales; Enterobacteriaceae
Description: bacterial SSU rRNA
Rfam family: Bacterial small subunit ribosomal RNA
Source: RNAcentral